GUCUUGUUAGCUCAGCUGGUAGAGCACGUCACUUUUAAUGAUGUGGCCGAUGGUUCGAAUCCAUCACGGGACACCA
RNAcentral lists this transfer RNA (76 nucleotides) under bacterium. Its description in RNAcentral is "tRNA-Lys". It matches the Rfam family "tRNA". Rfam says of the family: Transfer RNA (tRNA) molecules are approximately 80 nucleotides in length. Their secondary structure includes four short double-helical elements and three loops (D, anti-codon, and T loops). Further hydrogen bonds mediate the characteristic L-shaped molecular structure. tRNAs have two regions of fundamental functional importance: the anti-codon, which is responsible for specific mRNA codon recognition, and the 3' end, to which the tRNAs corresponding amino acid is attached (by aminoacyl-tRNA synthetases). tRNAs cope with the degeneracy of the genetic code in two manners: having more than one tRNA (with a specific anti-codon) for a particular amino acid; and 'wobble' base-pairing, i.e. permitting non-standard base-pairing at the 3rd anti-codon position. The record is from RNAcentral.